RNAcentral lists this ribosomal RNA (460 nucleotides) under uncultured bacterium. RNAcentral describes it as "partial 16S ribosomal RNA". It matches the Rfam family "Bacterial small subunit ribosomal RNA", at positions 338 to 795 of the family's 1533-position model. The record is from RNAcentral.
CCUACGGGUGGCAGCAGUGAGGAAUAUUGGUCAAUGGACGAGAGUCUGAACCAGCCAAGUAGCGUGAAGGAUGACUGCCCUAUGGGUUGUAAACUUCUUUUAUAAAGGAAUAAAACGAGGCACGUGUGCCUGUUUGCAUUUACUGUAUGUAUAAGGCUCGGCUAACUCCGUGCCAGCAGCCGCGGUAAUACGGAGGAGCCGAGCGUUAUUCGGAUUGAUUGGGUUUAAAGGGAGCGUAGAUGGGUUGUUAAGUCAGUUGUGAAAGUUUGGGGCUCAACCGUAAAAUUGCAAUUGAUACUGGCAGUCUUGAGUACAGUAGAGGUAAGCGGAAUUCGUGGUGUAGCGGUGAAAUGCUUAGAUAUCACGAAGAACCCCGAUUGCGAAGGCAGCUUACUAAACUGUGACUGACAUUGAUGCUCGAAAGUGUGGGUAUCAAACAGGAUUAGAUACCCCUGUAGUC